RNAcentral lists this ribosomal RNA (468 nucleotides) under uncultured bacterium. RNAcentral describes it as "partial 16S ribosomal RNA". It matches the Rfam family "Bacterial small subunit ribosomal RNA", at positions 28 to 507 of the family's 1533-position model. The record is from RNAcentral.
GACGAACGCUGGCGGCGUGCUUAACACAUGCAAGUCGAACGGAAAGGCCCUGCUUUUGUGGGGUGCUCGAGUGGCGAACGGGUGAGUAACACGUGAGUAACCUGCCCUUGACUUUGGGAUAACAUCAGGAAACUGGGGCUAAUACCGGAUAGGAGCUCCUGCUGCAUGGUGGGGGUUGGAAAGUUUCGGCGGUUGGGGAUGGACUCGCGGCUUAUCAGCUUGUUGGUGGGGUAGUGGCUUACCAAGGUUUUGACGGGUAGCCGGCCUGAGAGGGUGACCGGCCACAUUGGGACUGAGAUACGGCCCAGACUCCUACGGGAGGCAGCAGUGGGGAAUAUUGCACAAUGGGCGGAAGCCUGAUGCAGCAACGCCGCGUGCGGGAUGACGGCCUUCGGGUUGUAAACCGCUUUCGCCUGUGACGAAGCGUGAGUGACGGUAAUGGGUAAAGAAGCACCGGCUAACUACGUG